AGCAGUCGCCACGGUAAUACGUAGGGGGCGAGCGUUGUCCGAAGUUACUGGGCGUAAAGAGCGCGUAGGCUGGUCUUUAAGUGAGUGGUGAAAGGUUCGGGCUCAACCCGGACACUGCCUCUCAUACUGGGGACCUUGAGUGUGGGAGAGGCGAGUGGAAUGGUCGGUGUAGCGGUGAAAUGCGUAGAUAUCGAUCGGAACACCCAUGGCGAAGGCAGCUCGCUGGCCUAACACUGGCGCUGAGGCGCGAAAGCGUGGGGAGCAAACAGGAUUAGAUACCCCCGUAGUCCCUGUCUCUUAUAA
RNAcentral lists this ribosomal RNA (303 nucleotides) under uncultured bacterium. Its description in RNAcentral is "partial 16S ribosomal RNA". It matches the Rfam family "Bacterial small subunit ribosomal RNA", at positions 507 to 809 of the family's 1533-position model. The record is from RNAcentral.